AAUAGAAAAUCAACCAUUUGUGGUCGGCUUUUUUUUUAAAACAAAAAAUAUAUUUUCAAAUUUUAAUAACAUAAUAAUAAAUUUUAAAAAUAUAUAUAUAUUUUAAAAAAAUCGACCAUAUGUGGUCGGUUUUUAAAAAGUUACCACUACUUAUCGAUCACACAGUUUAAUUGGUUUUGUGGUCAAAAAUUAGAGAAAAUUGAUCACUUAUGAUCGAUUUUUGUGGUCGAUUUUCCCCUUUUGUUUUUUUUAGUAGUGCAAGUAUUUUAGGACUGAAGUCUAGUGUUAACCAAACAUUAAAAAUAUCAUUAUCUCCAUUUAUCAGUAUAGACACCAACUCUCUACCCCUUCUCCUCACCAAUAUCCUAACCCUAGAAAUACGGUGAUGCUGCGAUCGACCUCCAAGAAACCGCCACGCUCAUCCCCAACGUUUUUGAAGAGCACAUUGUACCAAAGAUGCAGAGGCAAACCAAUAAUGUUCACCCCAGUAUUCUUCCUUCACCUUAACACGUCUAGAGCUUUUUCCUUCGACCAUCUAUGGAGCCUAAGAAGAUUGUCAUCCAUCCAUUUCUUGCCUUCCAAUAGCCCUCGAUCUGUCUCGGCCUCACUAGCAAAUCUUUACAAGAAAGUAGAGUCUCCCAUAGAAGACACUUUAAUCAAUGGAUAAGCUUUCCAAACCUUUGUUUCCCACAUACAGACAGGAUCCUUAAGUCACCUUCUUUUCAGAUCUUUCGAUCAAAUAUGAAUUUGGGAACUAUUUUUUUUCCCUAAUGUAACCGUUCGAUAACCUGAACCUCGGCUCACCUAAUCCUCUUAAUCUUCUAUAGCCAUCAUCCAGUGUGAGGGCUGGGGAAGAAAGAGCCUAUUUGUAGCAAAUUGUGUUAGGUGAUUUCUUCCCAUCUGUUCUAGCCUUGGUAGACAGAGUACCUUAUACUUGUUGCUAAGGUGGCAGGUAUUCCACAGAAUUAGUUGAGGUGUGCUCAAGCUAGUUGAGGUGUGCUCAAUAAGUCGCAUUUCAGCAAAAAGCAAGAGAGAACUUCUUUCAUUGAAAUAUAAGGUUUCAGCUUCCCUUCAACGAGCUGAAGAUAUUGGAGAUAUCUCUUCCAUUUAACUCUAAGGUCUCAACAUUCCCUUAACGAGCUGAAUUUAUAUUUAUAGCCCCGAGAUUAUUCCCUAAAUAUCCUAACAGUCUAGUACUGAGUCUUAUAGUUAUUUGAGAAACUGUUUUGUAAUGCCUUCUACUGUACUUAAGCAUAGAAUUCGUCUAUUGUCAGCAAGAGAAAGUUUAGUUUGCCCACUUGUUUAUUUCAAUCAAGUAGUGUUGUUGCUGGUGUAACUUAAUUAGAUAUUGAUCGAAGGUAAGAAGAAUACAUCAUAUUGUGCAAAUUGAAGAAGGAUGGCUUAGAUUUCCCUUUCAGUCGAGGUUUGGUGCAUUGAGCCAAAGCUAUGAGAUCUUGGAAUCUCGGUGCUCCUUUCUUAUAAGUGUAUUGACAACUUAAGUGCAAUUUUUGCCUAUGGCUUGAGAAUCACACAAGGAAAUCUCUCUUCACACCUUUUAAACUGCGAUGUAAUAUGUUUUAUGUUUUCACAUCUAUUGCAGAAGCACGUAAGUUUGAAGAACUUCUAUGUGCAAAAUCACUAGGGAUAAAUGGGUGGGUAACUUUCAAGACAAGCUUUUUCACCCAAACAUCAACAGCAAUGGUAGCUACUGCCUAGAAAUUUUGAAGGAACAGUCGAGCCCUGCACUUUCAAUCUCCCAAGUAUUGCUCUCUAUCUGUUCUCCACUGAAAGACCUUAAUCCUGAUGACCCUUUGGUACCGGAGAUUGCUCAUACGUAUAAAACUGAUAGAAGCAAAUAUGAGACAACCGCUCGGAGUUGGACUCAAAAAUUUGCAAUGGGUUAGUUGUUGUGACCAUCUCUGAAAGGGCUACUUUUAUUCUGUGGUAUUUUGUACUAUGUAUUAUGUAUUAAGAAAUUGUGUUCUUAUGCAUAACUAACUCAAGGGGAAAAGUUGAACAGUGUCCUUCCUGAAACAGUUUGAGUUGUUCGUUGUUUGCGAGAAUCUAAUGGUGUUGAAACUA
Molecule: long non-coding RNA, 2082 nt
Organism: Capsicum annuum
Lineage: Eukaryota; Viridiplantae; Streptophyta; Magnoliopsida; Solanales; Solanaceae
Exons: 2
Source: RefSeq, a predicted model, not a curated record